RNAcentral lists this ribosomal RNA (403 nucleotides) under uncultured bacterium. RNAcentral's name for it is "partial 16S ribosomal RNA". It matches the Rfam family "Bacterial small subunit ribosomal RNA", at positions 28 to 526 of the family's 1533-position model. The record is from RNAcentral.
GACGAACGCUGGCGGCGUGCCUAAUACAUGCAAGUCGAACGCAGUGGGGACAGGUGAGUAACACGUGGGUAACCUCCCAUCAGAGGGGAUAACACUUGGCAACAGGUGCUAAACCGAUACUGAUUGAUGGACCCGCGGUGCAUUAGCGAGUUGGUGAGGUAACGGCUCACCAAGGCCACGAUGCAUAGCGGACGUGAGAGGGUGACCGGCCACACUGGGACUGAGACACGGCCCAGACUCCUACGGGAGGCAGCAGUAGGGAAGCUUCGGCAAUGGACGAAAGUCUGACCGAGCAACGCCGCGUGAGUGAAGAAGGUUUUCGGAUCGUAAAGCUCUGUUGUUAGAGAAGCGGUAUCUAACCAGAAAGCCACGGCUAACUACGUGCCAGCAGCCGCGGUAAUUC